Long non-coding RNA from Cyprinus carpio (common carp), 482 nucleotides. RefSeq lists it as uncharacterized. The transcript is spliced from 5 exons. NCBI's taxonomy places the organism in Eukaryota, Metazoa, Chordata, Actinopteri, Cypriniformes, Cyprinidae. The record is from RefSeq and is a predicted model, not a curated record.
UAGGCUCAAGCAGAGUCUGGGUCCAAGAGAGCAAAGGGCCAGGUUUUUUUUUUUUUUUUGAUUAUAAAUAUCACUACAGAAAUCCCAUGACAUUACCAGAAGAUUUCAUCUCUCAACUUACCAAGAACACACAGAGACUGCAGGUCUCUUCGUUAACUUUUCUAAGAUGGCAUCAUCUUGAUUUACCUAAAGCAGCGCAAACUGCAUCUACAUAUGUGCAUGUCUUUGUCUGGCGUAUCUUGCCGUGGUAAAUGCAGAGGAAAUGUUACAACCCAAAGCUGAUGAGAUGGGGACUUCAACUGAAGAAAUUCUGAGAGGACCCAGACGAAUUUGAAGGCUCGAGCUCUGCCAUCAGCAUCAGUGGAAGUAGCAGCCCUAGGAAGACUUCUGUUUCCUGGUACACUGUACGACAGCCGCAAGGAUUCCUUCAUUCCAGGUGUUACUCUGUGGGAUAAGACAUCGCUGAGUGAAGAUCUGGACAG